RNAcentral lists this transfer RNA (85 nucleotides) under Felis catus (domestic cat). It matches the Rfam family "tRNA". From Rfam's summary of the family: Transfer RNA (tRNA) molecules are approximately 80 nucleotides in length. Their secondary structure includes four short double-helical elements and three loops (D, anti-codon, and T loops). Further hydrogen bonds mediate the characteristic L-shaped molecular structure. tRNAs have two regions of fundamental functional importance: the anti-codon, which is responsible for specific mRNA codon recognition, and the 3' end, to which the tRNAs corresponding amino acid is attached (by aminoacyl-tRNA synthetases). tRNAs cope with the degeneracy of the genetic code in two manners: having more than one tRNA (with a specific anti-codon) for a particular amino acid; and 'wobble' base-pairing, i.e. permitting non-standard base-pairing at the 3rd anti-codon position. The record is from Rfam by way of RNAcentral. Lineage: Eukaryota; Metazoa; Chordata; Mammalia; Carnivora; Felidae. RNAcentral also lists the same sequence under 2 other names.
GCCUGGGUGGCUCAGUCAGUUAAGCGUCUGACUUCAGCUCAGGUCAUGAUCUCGCAGUUUGUGAGUUCAAGUCCCGCAUCAGGCU